This 251-nucleotide ribosomal RNA is filed under the name uncultured bacterium. RNAcentral describes it as "partial 16S ribosomal RNA". It matches the Rfam family "Bacterial small subunit ribosomal RNA", at positions 524 to 774 of the family's 1533-position model. The record is from RNAcentral.
UACGUAGGGAGCGAGCGUUGUCCGGAUUUACUGGGUGUAAAGGGUGCGUAGGCGGCUAGACAAGUCAGGUGUGGAAUACCGCAGCUCAACUGCGGGGCUGCACUUGAAACUGUAGAGCUUGAGUGAUGGAGAGGUAAGCGGAAUUCCUAGUGUAGCGGUAAAAUGCGUAGAUAUUAGGAGGAACACCAGUGGCGAAGGCGGCUUACUGGACAUUAACUGACGCUGAGGCACGAAAGCGUGGGGAGCAAACA